Molecule: ribosomal RNA, 2003 nt
Filed under: hot springs metagenome
Description: bacterial LSU rRNA
Rfam family: Bacterial large subunit ribosomal RNA
Source: RNAcentral
GGAAGACAGAAUGAGCACACGAUGGAUGCCCAGGCGCUGCGUGCCGAUGAAGGACGGGGCAUCGCUCCGAUAAGCCGCGGGGAGCCGCGAGCAGGCUGUGAUCCGCGGAUGUCCGAAUGGGGCAACCCACCCCUGCGGGGGUACGGUCGCAAGACCGGGGGCACCCGGCCAACUGAAACAUCUCAGUAGCCGGAGGAAGAGAGAACUACACCCGUAGUAGUGGCGAACGAACCGGGUUCAGGCCUAAACCCGCGCCGUGGCAAGGCGCCAGCCGUUGCGGCGCGGGGGUUGGAGGGCACGGCCGGCGCGCUGGCGAGCGCCACCCUGACCGCCGGACGCAGGCGAAGCGGUUUGGAACACCGCACCAGAGGGGGUGAGAGUCCCGUAGCCGCGUCUUACCGUCAGGGGCCGUGACCCUGAGUAGGUCCGGGCACGAAGAACCCGGGCUGAAGCCGGGCUGACCACAGUCCAAGGCAAGCUACACGCAGCGACCGAUAGCGCACAGUACCGUGAGGGAACGGUGAAAAGCACCCCGGUGAGGGGAGUGAAAGAGAACCUGAAAUCGUGUGCUUCCACGCCGUGGGAGCCCUGCGGGGUGACCGCGUGCCUUUUGGAGUAUGAUCCGGCGAGUUAUCCUGCGUGGCACGGUUAAGGCAGUGACAGCCGGAGCCGGAGUGAAAGCGAGCCUGCAUGAGGCGUUGGUCGCGCAGGAUAGACGCGAAACCACGUGAGCUACCCAUGGGCAGGCUGAAGCGUCCCUAACAGGACGUGGAGGGCCGCACCGGUGUGGGUUACAAACCGCUCGGAUGACCUGUGGGUAGGGGUGAAAUGCCAAUCGAACGUGGAGAUAGCUCGUUCUCCCCGAAAUGCAUUGAGGUGCAGCCGCGGGUAUGGCGCCGCUGGAGGUAGAGCACUGUUGUUGUGCGGGGGCUUCACCGCUUACCAAGCGACGGCAAACUCCGAAUGCCAGCGCGCGCGCACCGCGAGUGAGACGGCGGGUGCGAAUAUCCGUCGUCGAGAGGGAAACAACCCAGACCGCCAGCUAAGGCCCCUAAAUCACCGCUCAGUGGGAAAGGUUGUGGCGCCGCGUAGACAACCAGGAGGUUGGCUUAGAAGCAGCCAUCCUUGAAAGAGUGCGUAACAGCUCACUGGUCGAGUAGCGCUGCGCCGACGCUUUAACGGGGCAAAGCGGUGUGCCGACGCUGCGGGUUCUCUGCGGAGAACGGUAGGGGAGCGUCGUCCGGGGCGUGAAGCCGGCGCGGAAGCGCCGGUGGACCGCGGACGAGUGCGAAUGCCGGAAUGAGUAACAGAGAAGUGGGGUUGCAAUCCCCACCGCCGAAAGCCUGAGGGUUCCGCCGCACGGAUGCACCGCGGCGGGUUAGUCGGGCCUAAGCCGCAGCCGCAAGGCGCAGGCGAUGGACAACAGGCGCAUAUUCCUGUACCACCGUCGGGUCGCUAGACUGAUGCCGGACGCUGAGGGGGAGUCGCCGCGGCGAGACGAGCGCCGUGCAAGCCGGUAGGGAGCAGGCGGAGGCAAAUCCCCGCCUGCGGUGACCGAGAGGUGAUGCGCAGGCCGGCCCGCAGGGGCAGGCCAAUGGCGAGGCACCUGUGCAGCCGAGAAAUGCCGGCUAGGGAGACCCGCGGUGCCCGUACCGCAAACCGACCCAGGUAGGCUGGUCGAGGAGACCAAGGCGGACGAGUGAGCCCUGGUUAAGGAACUCGGCAAAUUGACCCCGUACCUUCGGAAGAAGGGGUGCUGCGCUAGGGUGAACCCGCACGCCGGGGGAGCGCGAGGCAGCCGCAGGGUCCAGGCCCGGGCGACUGGAUACCAGAACCACAGCUCCCUGCUGAAGCCGGAAGGCGAUGUAUAGGGGGUGAUGCCUGCCCAGUGCCGGAAGGUUAAGGGGAGGUGUGCAAGCACCGAACCGAAGCCCCGGUAAACGGCGGCCGUAACUAUAACGGUCCUAAGGUAGCGAAAUUCCUUGUCGGGUAAGUUCCGACCU